Long non-coding RNA from Mus musculus (house mouse), 11202 nucleotides. RefSeq annotates it as predicted gene 20655. Lineage: Eukaryota; Metazoa; Chordata; Mammalia; Rodentia; Muridae. The record is from RefSeq and is a predicted model, not a curated record. The transcript has 5 exons.
UCAAAUGUUGGACAGGGUCGCACCUCUCAGUGUGAAGAGCUGGUACUCUGAUCUUAGUACCUGAAAUACCUAACUCAUUCCAGGAUCAGGGGGCGAGCAGAGAAGCAGGAGCACCCUGUAAAUACUUCUGGAAUUGAAAUGGGCAGAGGCCACACAAACGAACGAGAAGUGGCUACUACCCUUGAGAACUUACCCAUCUAUCACAGAAGCUGAAGAAAACGUAAGGGAGACGUGAGAAAGGUGAAACUAACCAAGUCUUAUGUGGGAAAUUGUCUUUGAAGGGAGUGCUGUGCUGCAGUCAUGAGUGGGGACAGACCGGGGGCGGGGGGCUGCACUAGGUGCAGUAGUGCGUUUCCAGUCAUAGGAUGCAGGGUAUGCAAAAUUAGCAUUCUUUCCCUUCAUCCACAGUUACUGCUGGUGCUACCAAUCCCCAUGCUCUUCAAAAACAUUUCCUCCUCUGCAUAUUUCUGCUGAGUAAUAGUUCAUGUGUUUGCUUUUCUCUCUGUACCAAGAGCUCCUUAACCAAAGGGUCAUCUCUUCUUUUUGUUCUCCCAACAUAGUACCUUAUAACCAGGCAUUAACAAAUAGUCCUGAAAGUAAUGAAUGGAAGAACAGCUCAGGUCUAUGUCUUCUGCAGUUCUUGGCAGAUAUAACCACAGUGUUGUUAUUACUAUUACUUUUAUUUUUUGUGAUAUAUCCUUAAUCAAAAAUAUUUUAUGAUAAGUCAUCUAAUUGACAAUUAUUUUAUCAAUAAACUUAUCCUUAUUUAUCAUAUUUUGCUUAUUUGUUAAGAUUGCUUUAAAUAUUCCAUUCCUUCAUUUUUAUAGCAAAUUACUAUUGAGUCUUUAAUUUGCCAUCUCAUAUCUUAUACCAUAGGCAUCCAAUGAUAUCCAACACACACACACACACACACACACACACACACACACACACACACACACACACUGUUCUUGAGAUAGAAAAAAAAUCCAAUUGGGAAUUAGUUACAUUAACCAAAUACUCUCCCCCAAAAUGUAUGAUUCGAGAUGCUUGUUAGUACUACUAAAGAAUGAUUCAUGGCAUAAUGUAGACCCAAGGAGAUUGCAACGUUAGGAUGUGGCUAAGAAAAUACCUUUUGGUUAUGAGCUAAAUGGCAAGCAGAAGUUCUAUGCUCAAAGGACUGGAAGGGUGCAGAUGUUUUUAGGUAGAAUGUGCGCAGGCCUUUGGAAAAUGGAGCAUGGAAGUUCAAAGAACUAAAAGAGAAGAUGAGAAUGGCUAGGGUAGUGGUGGGGUCAGGGAUGGCAUGGAAAAGAAAGAGAUGCAGGGGAAUACAGUAAAAUGAGAUCAAGCUUGAGCCUGUCAGGGUUAGACCACAGGCCCAAAAAAUAUCUUAAGAAUUUUGGUUUGGAAUUCUAAGAGCCAUAGGGUAGGCAUGUGAGCCAAGUUGACUGGCAUCAUGUGAAAAACCUUCACUUUAGUAAUACGAAAAGGGAUGGGCUAGAGAAAAACACAGCAAUAGAAAAUUUAGGAAAUUACAAAAGGAGGAUAUGAAAUUAAUCCAAAUAUAUUUAUAUGGCGGAUAGGUUAUUUCUCUGCCAGUGAAAGAAACCAAUUCGAGCCAGAUUAGAGUAUAUUAGAGGCAGGUUUAUCGGGAGUCUGCUCUCAGGUGAGUUCGCAGGCUGGGGGCUGGGGAGGAAGGAGAGAGCGAGAGUGAGAGCGAGAGCAAGAGCAAGAGCGAGAGCGAGAGUGUGCAAGAGAGAAUGUCUGCAUUGUAUAAGGAAAUGCCGGGGUGAGAGUGGCGGGGGCGGGGAGGGCAUCCCAGCCCUUGAACAGGGUUGGGGACAGGGUAUGUCAGAUAGAGACAUUAGAACAUAAUACUUGCCUAAUCCUUUUAAGAUUUUCUUUUCCAGCUUUUGCUCUUUAUUGCUGACAGGCUCUUUGGCUGCGGCUGGCUCUUCAGGAGCAGUGGGUUCUCUGUCUAUCUCUUCAGUGGUUUCUUCAUAGUCAACAUCCUCAUUGUCUGGUGCCUCUGUGUUUGGGGGCUGCUCCUUAGUUUCAGAGGUGCUCUCCUUCCCUCGGGGACUGGCAGCAGACCCAUACGUGCUUAUGAUGUCUUCCAGUUGCCUGCUCAACUCUUCCGCGACAUCAUGGGCUCCCUUCUCGGGAUGCAGGCUUCCCUCUUGCUCUGGCGCUUGGCCUGAGGUUGAGCACCGCUCGCCAUCUUGCUUUCCCGGGCCGUUUUGAUUGAGUGAUGAGCUGUCCCCUGGGGGAGUUGGGUGCUCCACUGAGAGCUGAUCAGGAUGAUUAAUCUCCAUAUGGGAGUGGGGUCUGGUGGGAAGCACAGUCAUGGUUCACCUAACGAUUUCACUUACAUAUUAAUGAUAAGGAUAUCUCUCAGAGAGGCGCCACCUAAUUUUGGGAUCCGCCACAGAAUAAAUGAACUUCCACAUACCAUCGACACUAAAACUCAGGUCGUAUUACUGUCCUAUCUUGAGUGUAAUCUUCACAUUUUAGCACUACCCCUUUUUGUUGAAAUUGUUUGAGUUAAUUUAUGGUAUUGUUUUUAUGAAUAUAUUUGUCAAUUUGUGUUAGGAUUUUCAGGUAUAGACCUCACAGUCCUUAAAAGUGCUUGCACAUAGACAUUUUCAUGCAAAGUUUAAUUUUUAUUUAACUUUUAAUUUAAUAUUUAAUACAGGAACCAUUCUGAUUACUAAAAAUAAUUCGUAACAGUUACAUCCAUAAGCUAUUUUUCAAUCUUUAGGUAAAAAGUUUAACUUGUGUAUUUUACUACAUUAUUAGGUAAAAUUGCUUUUCUAGUGUUUUCUCCCUGAUAAUAAGCAACAUGCAAUUAUCAAUCAGAAAAAAAAGGGUUUUUGAACUUCAGAUUAAUGUUUUUUAAUUAAAACAGGGAAUGAGAAAUGUAUAAAUAAGUCAGUAAUAUGAAUGAAUGAUGAUGAUCCUUAGAAAUAUAUUUUCAUAUGUAUAUAUGUGUAUGAGUAUUUUCACACAUAUGUGUAUGUGUGUGUGUGUGUGUGUGUACAUGCAGAGGCCAGAGAAGGAUGUCUGGUGUCACAUCCAUCUUCUACCUUUAAAACAAGAGCCUCUCACUGAACCUGGCACUAGGAUGGCAGUCAGCAAGCCCCAGUUAUCCUCCUGCCUCUGUCCCUAACAGCACUGUAAUUGCAUGCUCAUUUGACUGCAUCCAAGUUUCCACAUGGUUGUCAGGAUCAGAACUCUAAUCCUUACGCUUGUAUAGCAAGCAGUUUUGCUCACUGAGCCAUCUCGCCAGCCCACAUAUAAUACUAACUCCUUAAAUUUCUAUAACAUUCUUUUACUCUAGAAACUGACUUCAUCUUUGAAGUAAAAAGAUGAUAAUUUUCUAACUUAAAAAGUUCUAGGAAAAUGUAAGAAUUUUAAGACAUAGCAAUGUAUAUCUUAAGCUAGAAAAAUAAUUCAAAUGCAAUAUGGACUCAAACCAGGCAUGCUGGGGCAUGUCUACUUCUUAUUUGUAAAAGGAAGGCAAGUCAGGCGUUCAAGGUCAUUGUCAGCUACACAGAGUCCCUAGCCUGCCUCUGCUAUAUAAUCCUGUCUCCCAGCAGCAACAACAUCAACAACAACACCCACAUAAUAGUAGAGCCUCUGGGAAAUAUGGAACAACACAGCACAUUGCAUUAGAGACUCCGGGCUUUGCUCCUACCAUGCUGAGGGGCGGAGAGAUUUGGCUUAGGGUUUAACUUCUGGUGCGUUUUGUUUACAAAUAGAACGCAAUAGUUAUGCUGCUAACUAAUAGCAUAAAACUAUGGCAGCGUUCCCUAGCUUCACGGGUCGUGCGGUUGUGUUGGCAUGUCAGUGGAAACAAAAACAUGCUGUGUUAUCAACUGCAUAGCUUCCUUGGCUCAUUUUUAGGGCAAGUGUCAAGCACUUGAAUGUAGUAGGUGUUGAACACUUGACUGCCAACCCGAGAGUGGAAGACACAGUGUGGAGACAGUCCCCACCCACCUGUGGCUCCCCCAGGACUUAGGAGGAAGGUCAUUCCUUUUAAUUCAAUCACUUGGUUAUCACACAAUGUGGCUGCGUCUCCACCACUGCAAUCGAGAGCCUGACCUCCGCUCGCCAUGCUCUCUGCUAUAUAUAACUCCUGCCUCCCCCAAGCACACAGAGAGACACGUGUCACCUGCUGCCCUGCCAGAAGUUAUUUUAAGUUCUUCUAAAAUGAGUUCUGACAUUUAGCCCUUCAUCCCUAAAGUCAAGAGAAUAGGCUCUCAGUCAGACUAAAAAUUGUGACCAUUUACUGGUUUGAAUCCAUAUGUGAACUUUUAAGUGUAGGGGAGAUUAUCAUUGGGUGAGAUCUGAAGUCAAUCAAAGUUCAAAGCAGUUAUUUCAAACAGUCCACGGGCAUUUUACUGUGGUUAGGCUACAUGAAAAUGUUCACGUGAUCUAUUCAAGCUUAGGUCUAUGGAUAUUCUUUAAAUUCCUGUUCCACAUUAGUUGAUGUGUGUGUGUGUGUGUGUGUGUGUGUGUGUGUGUGUGUGUGUGUCAGUCUCAGCACCUCAAAUGCUCCACUGAUGUGCAGUAUCUCCAAACUCCAACCUUCUUUUAAAACAGUAACCUAUUUUGUUUAGAGGACAAUUUACUUCUUUAAGACACCUCAGAACAAACUAACAAGAAGGAAAACCAAAUAUAAACAAAGUCAAAGAACCUUAAAAUCGUCCUUUUUGUAGCAAAGUUUCUUCUCACAAAGAAACUCUAAAAUCUGUCUUUUACAAACUUUAUUGGCUCUGUGCCCCUCCGGGAAGGAGGAAUGUUUCCCCUGUGCUAGCUGUGGCUGCUCACACACGCACACGCACCAUCCCUUCCUGAUCCACCCGCUGUCUUGUGAAGUUGAACAAUGGAAAGCCCUUCUACCAUUUGCUGGCGUCUGUAACUUUUGAACACUACAGACUACAGGCUACAGGCUGCCCCUCAGGGCUUGGGGAAGUGUUUGUCAUACUUACCAGAAGGAAGGGAGCUAAGCAGGAAGAGAAAAGAGAGGAAAGAGGUGGUAGAGUCAGAGGAGGAGCAGCAGCAGCAGCAGCAGCAGCAGCAGGAACAGGCAGCAGGGCUGAGUUCUUACAAGGAGGGAGAAACUGCACACACACACACACACACACACACACACACACACACACACACACACACGCCCACAAAAGGAGGGGGCGGGGAAGGAAACACCCGUGACGCAGCAAGAAAGAAGUCUGCCUGUGCUUCAGUAGGUGUCGCCAGGGGAGUAUCCUUUGAAAGAAAAGCAGCUGGUGAAUUGUGAGACUCUCCAUGUUUAGCCCUCUUUAAAAUUCAAACCCAGAUGAAUGGCCUCCUGGUGCGGUUUUCUGACAUUGUUGUUAUUUUGGAACACAUCAGGAGUGUUUUUAUUUCUUGGUUUAUCUCCGUGGGGUUUAUGAUUCAACCCUGGAUUAGUUAGUAUCAGGUUUCUUUUAGGAACCACCAAAGAUGCGGUGUGGCACAGCACAGGAGAAGUGGCAGAGACACUAAUUCUGAGGACACUGCUUUCUUGUGGUUGUUACUAUUGUUUUUGCAAAGUUUGAAAUGCACAUUUAGGUGGCUUUUGGAACUGUGGUUUAGGUAGUCUUUGCAUGUGUGCUGUGUCCAGAGCUGACAUCUCAUCAGCUUGUUCAUCCUAAAAAUGCCUUCCUAGGGCCUAGAGGCAGAGGUAGGUGGCUCUCUGUGACUUCAAGGCCAGCCUGGUCAAUAUGGUGACUUCCAGGACAGUCAGAGGAACGGCUUAAUAUCCUGUGUAAAAGAAACAAGGAUUAGCUUGUUAGCUUCCUCCUAACUCAUAGCCAUUCAUGGGUGCCUUAAGCUUUCUGGGGAAUGUAUUUCCAUGUUUUACCAAAACAGAUUUAGUCUUGGCACAGCAUCUCUGAGAAUUUAGUCACCCCAAAGACAUCCAGCCCUUGAAUCUGGCACUUUACGUGUAGAGGGGACUUGCAGAUGUGGUCAAGGAUUGUGGGGUGGAGAGUCAUCUAGAAUGAUCUGAGGGUGACCACUAAUCACAGAGUCCUUAUAAAUGAGGCAAGCAGGCUGAGAAUCAGAUCAGAUCUGUCGAUCUAAGUGGGGUGUGUCAUGGAGUAAGGUCCUGCGUCGAGGAGCAUAAGAAGCCUUAGAAGCUGGGAAGGCAACAAAACACUCUUCUCUCAAGCCUCCAGAGGGAUGCAGCCACACCAACAGCUUCACCUCAGACCCCAUGGAACUCAUUUUGGACUUUGACCUCCAGCACUGUAAAGGAGUAAGUUCACGUUUUUUAAAAAGCCUCUACCUCAGUGUCAGAUUGUUAAAGGGAAUGAAACGGAAGCUAACGUGCACCCCACUCCCAAGUGCUUCCCUACUUCCUGAGCUCGGGGUGCUGUAAGUCACAAUCACAGAAAGGGCUGAAAAGGGGUGCAGGAAAGGCAUGAUGGGAAGAAGCAGCCUGAGAAGGAGAAACUCUGACAGAGACACUGCAGUGACUGUUAAUCCUGGGAUUUGCCAGAGAAAAAACCCCAAGUCCACCAGCUCCGGGCAAAUUAAAGCUAGCUUUAUUAAAUAUUAAAUACUGACCACCAAAUCCUCGACUUUAAUCAGGACCAUUCCCUGGAGUUUCUCAGCUGGAAUGGCCUUGAGCCUGUGUAGCAGGGAUUUAUAAGGAUGACCUAUAGGCCAUCAUAGUUUCCUAUGAGGCUUUGUUAUUUUCUGAGAACUACAACUCCCAGCAUUCCCGGAAGUUACCUGGUCCUUGGGCAACUGGGGUUUACAGGUUAAUUUCGGGCCUUUCAUGGCAAACACAAUGAAACUGGUGAAAGAAAAUAAUAUUCUCUCCUUAAUCCUCACAUCGUGAAUAUUCGGUUAACACCACAAAUCAGAAGACAGCACAUCCUGGAUUGGAGCAAUCAACUCAAUCAGAUCUCCAAGUGCAGAUCAGUUCUAAACAAUUUUAAAUAAGGUACUGUUAGGGUACAUUUUGUGAAGGUAUGUUUCUGUGUCAUCAAUUGUUUAACGGGUACCUGCAGAGAGCUAAGUACUCGUCGCAUCUUGGUAUUGUUGUUUCCGUGGCCCAUCGCCAGCCUCAUAUUUUUGCAAACAUUCAUCCUUCCUUCCUUGCCUAUUGGAUGUAAUAAAAAACUGAUGGCCAAUAGCUGAGCAGGGACUAGGAGGCGGCACUUCCAGGCAGAGAUAGGAACUUCGGGAGAAGCAAUCAAAUGCAGGAGGUUCAUCAGGGAUCACAGAAGGGAUGAUUCAGGCCGGAGCAGAGAGGUAGACCUGGCCAUGUGACAAGAUGUAGGCCAGAAUUAGUCAGCUAGAGUCGUUGGGAGACUGCCAAGCUGAGGCAUUAAAAUAUUAUUGACUCCAUGUCAUUAUUUAUACAGCUGGGGGUGGGGUCCAUGAAAAGUCCCACUUUGAGGUGCAGGCCCUUUUAACAAAAUAGUUUCCAUUGAAACUAAUGGAAGAGGAAAUCUAAUGACAGGACUGUCUUAUUAUGUUAUUGUGUGUAUAUAUACAUACAAUAUGUACUAACAUGAAAACAGGCAUAGCUUUCUUAUACCUGUCCCUUUCUUUUCUCCCUGCCACUCCAUAGGGUUUCUCUGUAAGUUUCAAAGUGAGUGCCCACUUUUUAGACAAGACUAGCCUGCAACUCAGAGAGACCUGCCUGCCUCUGCCUCUCAAGUGCUGGGAUUAAAGGCGUGUGCCACCACCACCUGGCUAACCUUUCUUAGAGUUAUUAUAAAAUAUACAUUUUCAUAUAUGUAUCACUUUAAAAUUCCACAAAACUGAAUCACAGAAUGACCCAACUCUCUCUAAAGAUAUUUGCAUAGGAGUUGUGUGUUGCUAAACACCAUUAAUGCUAGUUCCCUAGGGUUUUUGUUGCUGUUGUUGUAAACAUCCUAUGAUAUUUUAAAUGUCAGGUGUGGUUCAGUCAGCUGCUUGACUGAUUGACAGCUGACAUAUUCUCUACCUUAACGUGGCUGUGUGGAGUAAGAGGCAUCUCAACUCUUAAACACAAAACAAAACAAAACAAAACAAAACAAAACAAAACAAACAAACAAACUUCUCUGGCCCUCCAGGAAUCACAUAACUUCAGCUUCACUAACAAUUGUGAUCAGGAUUGGAACUGACGCCAACAAGGUCUGCUUUGGGAGACCAUGCUCCAGCCGGGACCUCUUCCCACACAAUCUGUCUAAGAUUUGGAAGACUCUAGAUAACAAGGCUAGACAAACCUUGGUGAGCUCAGCAUCUCCUCCUGCUGUGACUCAGAAAAAAAAAAAAAAGUCCAGUGACUGGUGGACGGGGAACCGAUCAUUGGUCUUUGUGUAGGGCUUGAGUCAGGUGGAAUCCGGAGCUGCAUAUGUGGAACUAGGAGUGGUGGAAUCAGACUGAACAUGUGCAUCUGGGCCCCUCUUCUGGCUGCUUAAACAGACUACUCUUUUCAGCCUGACCAUAGCCCUCCAGAGGCACAGACACCAAAUGGUAGAUGUUUUCUGUGGGACUUACUUUGUGAUCUGUACCUGGAAAGAUCUCCACUUUUUAAAUUACAGCCUUAUUAAAUUACACUUAAACUUUUCAUGGAAACAAAUUAAUUAUGGACAUCUGAUAAAUAAUGCAGAUACCUGAUCCAUUCUGGGCAGAUGAUACUUAGCGGGAAGAAGUCAUCCCUCCCCAGUGAAAGAGUACACUUAGGGGAGUGAGGUAACGGAGUAACGUGUCCAAAACUAAGCCAGGCACCGUGUUGUCCCAUACAAGAUUCAGGGUUUCUUUCCAAGGAUACAAAUAGGAAUUUUGAGGCUUUCUAACUGCCUGAAAGAUUUCUCUAUCUGGCAUUAUAGUUCUUCUGGUUUUCUUCUACAAGGAUCACAAGUUCUUCUAUCCCCUCCUGGAGGAUUUCACGAGCCACUUGCUCCUCACUGAUCACAAGGGAAUCUCCAAAGAAAUCUGUUGCAUUUAUGUUUGAAGAAAGGCCUAUUGCUAUGAUGCGUUAAAAAUCUCAUUAUGGCAAUGCAUAUAUUAAAGAUCAUUCAUUUAUUUUUUAAAAUCUGAGAGGAUGGUUUUUACCAUACAAUUAUUUUGUUGUCUUGAUAUACCCAAACAAGGUAGGCCCUGACAAUGUAUGUAACAGGUGGUCACCAGGAUGGGGACUAUGUGAGCAAAUAUUUAUACCCUCAUAUCCUACCUCCUCAUUAUUUCUUUUACUUGCCUUUCCCCCAUCAUGAAGACAUGCCUAGGCUAAUGUUGUCCACUGGUAGUUUCUGUUGUCUUAGGAGAAAAUCAUUAGCAUUCAUUCUGUCUCCCUGUCUGCUUUGAGGAACUUUCCUGCCCCUACUAUCUCUUCUGCGAUGGGUUCAUCUCUAGACUAGAUUAACUUAUCAUGUUCCUUUUUUUUUUGAGUUCACAGAAUUGGAAGGAUAUAUCACUUCUAAUCUUCACCAAAUCAUUCUAUGGUUCUAAUUCCAUAUAAAAUUGAAAUUAAUUCAGUUGUGGUUCCAAAGUAUAGCUGAACUAUGGAUGAGUUAGUUAUUGCCGAACUCCAUGGGUUGCUAUUUAUUUAAGCAGAAUAGGUGCAACUCAUCCUAAAUUUAGAUAACAUGGCAGUUCUAGACUUGACCUGGAACCUUGAUUCUAUAAACUGUAGCCAAAUGAAAUCACAUACUCCUAAUUGCUUUCUCACAGAGACCCAAAAGACAUCAUGAACUUUAAAAUCAUGAAUAAGAACAUAGUUAUUAUGUAAAGUCGUGACACUUAUUCCUGAGAAUGUAAGUAUUUGUAUGUAUAUUCUUGCACUCACUGUUUAGUAGAACUAACUAUUGCAAUCCUGCUUUUGGAAAUGGCAAUCUGAUUUUUCUUAUUUAUUGCUGUGUAAUAAAAGACUUGAUUUUAUAAAGUGUGUGUGUGUGUGUGUGUGUGUGUGUGUGUGUGUGUGUGCGCGUGCAUUGUUAAGUACUGAACUCAAGUUUUCAUGUAUGCUGGACACGCAGUAUAUCAACUUAGCUAUUUCCCCAACUACAAAUUUUAAAAGAAAGUUAAAUAUGUUAACAAAGCCCCAAUUGGACAUUUCUGCCAUCAAAUAAAAACAGCAGUGCCAGGAAUUAGUUACAGCUAAUAGAGUUGUUGGCCAGUGGGCCACCAUGGAAACUCCUAAACAUCUCAAGCUAUUCCUAAGAGUAUUGGUUGUCUUCCACAAAUUGAUGGUAAGGCUUUAUUGCUGAAUAUAAUCUCAUCAAACAUAAAGGAGUUGAGCUGGUGCCUAAAUAGAGGCUUUCUCUACUUACUAGUAUUCUUGGUGCUGGAAGAUGCUCUGCACACUACCAGAAGAAAAUGGUAGUCAUCAACCCAGCUACAAACCCUGUGACCUACAAUGAUGACCUGCUUGUGAGAUGUACUGGUGUAAUCAUGGCACAGACAUUGUAGGCAUCACCAACCACUCUCUGAUUAUAUUUAAGUCCCAUUCCAUGAGAUAGAACAAUGCCUGACACUGUAAGAGUAUCCAAGACCUAAGACUGGAUAGACCAUGGGCAUAAGGGAAAACUAAAUAUUGCUGUUUACAAAUAUGAACAUAGAAAUGAAAUGACCCCUAAUGCCAUACUGGUAUACCCAUACAUCAAUGCCUCUAUCAGCCCUCAUCAGAGAAGAUUCUUCUUCCAGUGGAUGGUAGCUAACACAAAGACCCACAAUUGGAUAAUGUGCAGAAGAUUAGAGAUAUAGGCGCACUCAGUUCUAAACAGGAUGACUUCAUCAAAGUCCAUGAGAUCUCUCUCCUUAGGUCUCAAAGAACCUAAGCAGAAAAGUAGUCAGAAAGAUUGUGAGAGCCAUGAUAGAGGACUCCAAGGAAAUGGUAUCCUCCAGACAUAAUAUUAUUAACACAUGUGAACUCACAGAGACUGUGGCAGCAGGUUCAAACCAGACAGGGUCCAAGCACUGAGAGUGGAAAGUGGUCAUUCAGUCCACCUCUAACCAAGAAGCUAUGUGUAAUUAUCAUCCACUUGCAAUGGAAAAUUAAAUCUUCGCCAGUGGAAUCUUACUGAGUAUAUUAACCACACUUCAGGGUAGGAUCCACGCCCAAGCAGGAGAUGGUCAACAUAAAUAAGGUCUGGGACAUUUUUAUAGACUUUUCACCCCAUUUACUUUAUUUGGGCAUUGUUUUUGUCUUACUGGUCUUUUGCUUGUAUAUUUUGGUUUCUGAUAUUUUUGUUCUUAAGA